GAGUUUGAUCGUGGCUCAGGAUUAACGCUAGCGGAAGGCAUAAUACAUGCAAGUCGAACGGGAUAGGAUUUAGCAAUAGAUCCUUGAGAGUGGCGCACGGGUGCGUAACACGUAUGCAACCUGCCUUUAACAGGGGGAUAGCCUCUCGAAAGAGAGAUUAAUACCCCAUAAAAUAAUGGAGUAGCAUUACUAAAUUAUUAAAGAUUUAUCGGUUAAAGAUGGGCAUGCGGCUGAUUAGGUAGUUGGUGAGGUAAUGGCUCACCAAGCCGACGAUCAGUAGGGGGUCUGAGAGGAUGUCCCCCCACACUGGUACUGAGACACGGACCAGACUCCUACGGGAGGCAGCAGUAGGGAAUAUUGGUCAAUGGGGGCAACCCUGAACCAGCCAUUCCGCGUGCAGGAAUAAGGCCCUAUGGGUCGUAAACUGCUUUUGUAUGGGAAAAAUCAUCCUAUGUAUAGGGUGUUGAUGGUACCAUGAGAAUAAGGAUCGGCUAACUUCGUG
This 502-nucleotide ribosomal RNA is filed under the name uncultured Bacteroidia bacterium. RNAcentral describes it as "bacterial SSU rRNA". It matches the Rfam family "Bacterial small subunit ribosomal RNA", at positions 9 to 507 of the family's 1533-position model. Lineage: Bacteria; Pseudomonadati; Bacteroidota; Bacteroidia. The record is from RNAcentral.